GGCAGAGAGAGAAUCCCAAGCAGGCUCCUCGCUCAGUGGGGUGCUGGAUGCCGGGCUCGAUCUCACAAACCGUGAGAUCAUGACCUGAGCCGGAAUCAAGAGUCAGACACCUAACCCACUGAACCACCCAGGGGCCCCUCUUGUGACUUUUCUUAACCAAUAGGCUUGGAGUGCCUGAGAUUUUUUUUUUUCGUUAAAAAAUAUUUAGUUUUGAUUUAUACCCCUACGCCAUUUCCAAAAGGAUUCAAGACUGCAACCCAUUAAGGCUGGAUGCGUUUGCUGAGUGAAUACAGGCACGAGUACCUGAAUGAACAGAUGAAUGGGUGAUUUCCAGGGCUUUUCCGUCA
RNAcentral lists this long non-coding RNA (347 nucleotides) under Felis catus (domestic cat). RNAcentral's name for it is "lncRNA (ENSFCAG00000047698.1)". Lineage: Eukaryota; Metazoa; Chordata; Mammalia; Carnivora; Felidae. The record is from RNAcentral.